GACGAAUGGUAUAUAUAUGUAUAUAUAUGUAUUUUUUUAUCUGAAAAUUGUUCAUCACAUUCACAAAUGAAACUAUUUGAAGUAAUGUUGCUGCAUUUUCCACGGAAACAGAUAUGUGGUUGACAUCGGCCAAUUAUUUCUGAGCAAUUCAUUCCUAUAACAAUGAAAAAAGGUUUAUUUACAUUGCAUGUCAAUAUUAUAAUCAUCAGUUUUCCCUCAAUUCUUUAAUAAAAAUGUCAAAUUCUGACAAAUAUAAUUUCAGUUAUGAAACCAUGUUAUAUGAUGCUGCAUUUAAAUUGAAAUAAAAAUUAAUUUUGAUACUUUACAUAAGUUUUUCCUCUUCUGACCCCAGACUAUAAUAUCCAAAUAUUUUUUCUGGCUAGUGGUAUUUGAACUUUAUUUAAUUUACAUAAUAUUUUAAAAUUUUAAUUGUUUUUUCAUGGUAGAUAAUAUUAGUACAUGUAAGUACCAGUUUUUCAACUUACACUGAUAAUAUUGCAGUGGUAAUUUACAAAGUGACACAUUCAAAUGUGCAUUGUGUCUCACCCUUAUGCCCUAGCCAAAGGAACAAUUCAAAAUGAGAAACAGCUGCCUGGAUUUUCAGAAUAUGUGCACAAACUUGCAAAUUCAACACUUCUUUGCCCUUGCUGGCCUAUCAAAUUUUCCAAAUCUCACUUACACAUACUAUUGUGGUCCCACUAUAUCAGGUGACAUAGCCUUCCAUAACAUACUUGUACUAUGCAUAUUUAAUCAUCUUAUAAUACGCUUAGUAGAGGAAUGUGCCUUGGAAAUCUCAGGGCAUAGC
Molecule: long non-coding RNA, 805 nt
Filed under: Homo sapiens (human)
Lineage: Eukaryota; Metazoa; Chordata; Mammalia; Primates; Hominidae
Description: non-protein coding lnc-RGS9-14:1
Source: RNAcentral